UCGACUGUUUUUACAAAAACAUUUCUUUUUGUUCGUAUAAAAAGUAAAGCCUGCCCACUGAUUUUGAAGGGCCGCGGUAUUUUGACCGUGCUAAGGUAGCAUAAUCACUAGUCUCUUAAUUAGGGAAUUGUAUGAAUGGCGAAUUCUUUAAAAAUUUUAUUUUUUGAAAUUACUUAAUUUUAAUUAUAAGUGAAAAUGCUUUUUUAUUGAAAAUAGACGAUAAGACCCUUUAGAUCUUUAUUUUAUACUAAAAUUUAAAUUUAGGUUAUUAGUUAAAGUUUUAUUGGGGCAAUAAAAGAAUAAUAAAAACUUCUUUAAACUAGUACAUCUUGUUUUAUAAAAAUUAAAAAGUUACCUAAGGGAUAACAGCGUUAUAAUCUUUGAGAGUUCUUAUCGACAUUAUUGUUUGCGACCUCGAUGUUGAAUUAAAAAUCCUUUACGGGGCAGUACCUGUGUAAGGAAGUCUGUUCGACUAGUAAUUUUUUACAUGAUUUGAUUCCAGACCGGA
Molecule: ribosomal RNA, 508 nt
Filed under: Entomobrya sp. 9691_1
Lineage: Eukaryota; Metazoa; Arthropoda; Collembola; Entomobryomorpha; Entomobryidae
Description: partial 16S ribosomal RNA
Rfam family: Bacterial large subunit ribosomal RNA
Source: RNAcentral